RNAcentral lists this long non-coding RNA (21211 nucleotides) under Brachypodium distachyon (stiff brome). RNAcentral describes it as "long non-coding RNA (BDIS_LNC002858)". The record is from RNAcentral. Lineage: Eukaryota; Viridiplantae; Streptophyta; Magnoliopsida; Poales; Poaceae.
ACACCCCAUAGUCCAUCAAUGCUGGGCGGAUAAGUCAAGCGUUUUGAAGAGUUAGAUGGAUAAGCAUACCGGCAGUUCGUAUGCUAAACGGCAGGAGUCCCGAUCGAUCUUUUAGGACGGGAGUUUGUUAGCUAACAACCAGAGCGGCGAGACCAGGUAUAAGGAGGGCUCGGGUCGGCUGCUCUCUUUUGGGGGGAGCGGGGCGGAGGAGCACCGCGGCGCCCUACACGAAGAGCCAACACGCAUCGCAGCUGGCUAAUCACAGCGCGUGCCCAAGGCGGCGGCGGCGGCAAGCUGCGCACGAAGAGAAAAGGAUAGCUCUCAGAGCAGAACACAACACGAAGUACACGCAGAAGCAAAAGAAGUCCUUGACGUGCUGCUGGUCUUGGGUCUUGCAUAUGCAUCAACGAGGAUGCCGUCUUCUCCUCCACCAUGCAUGGGUAUACGUAUACUUUUGUUUCUAUUGUUUUUUUUCCUCGAUCCAGAUGCAGAUGCAGAGAUGAGGGCAGUAUGAGAAGAGAGCAGCGGGAGGAAGAUAGCUGGAGAGAGGCAGGCAAUCGGAGGAGCAGCACUACGUCAAGAUGAAGAAGAGGAUCAGAAGAUAGAGGAGGAAGAAGCCAGGCGGCCACCUCCGGAAGAUGACUCGGAGGAGGAUAUUCAAGACAAGAUCGCUUCAGGCGACUGCUCUUGCAGGGAUUGCAGCAGAAGGAAGAUCCUUGAGAGAAGAUCAGCCGGAAGGUGCAGGUUGGCCGCCAAAGGGAUUAUCAAGCUGAUCGAUGCAGAGUGUUGCAGUUGUGUCAUCGAGUAGUCUUCAGUAUACUUGAUUACGAAGAAGAGUUAGAAGAUGUCAUACAAGGCUCCUGUACAGCGCCAGCAAGGAGAUCAUGCUCUUCAAUUUCCAGCGGUGCCUUCGUUUCAAGAGCAGAUCGUCGGGACGGCCUAACGGUCGAUCUCGCAUCUUCAACAAGAGAUAAGAGAUAGUUUUAUGGCAUCCGUGGCUCUACCCGGCGCCGUGUCGCUGCCACGGAUGGACGAUCGUACUCGUGUGCUUCUACAAAAUUUGUGAUGUUCGCGGCUCUACCCAACGCCGUGUCGUCGUCACGGGCGGCUAAAAAAAAAGAAAAAGAUGUUUUGUGGCAUCCGUGGCUCUGCCUGGUGCUGUGUCGCAGACACGGAUGGACCACCAUUGCCGUCUAUGAAUUUGUGAGGUCCCCGGCUUUACCCGGCGCCGUAUCGUCGUCGCGGACAGUUAAUAAAAAAAAAGAAAAAUAUACGAUGGCAUCCGUGGCUCUGCCCGGCGCCGCGUCGUCGCCACGGAUGGACCACCAUUGCCAUUUACAAAUUUGUGAGGUCCGCGGCUCUACCCGGCGCCGUUUCGUCGUCACAGAUGGUUAAUAAAAAGAAAGAAAGAGAUACUAUGGCAUCCGUGGCUCUACCCGGCGCCGUGUCGUCGCCACUGAUGGACCACACCGUUGUCAUAUAUUUCUACAAUCUUUGUGAUGUCCGCGGCUCAUCAUGUGUCGUGCGGACGGUCACUCUUCAUUUGUGAAGAAGAGGCAACAACUGCUAGGCAUCUCGUGUCUCCACAUGAAGAUCUUUAUUUCGUUCCCAAGGAUCGUCGGUUGGAAAGGGCAAAGCUCCAAGGUCACAGGUGCUCUAUGAAACAUGUGUACAUUGUGGCCGAUGGAUGGCAUACAUACACAUAAGAGAUUACUGCAAGAAGCCCUGCUUCAUAGGCUGAUCACAAGAACCAGAAAAUAGAGAUUAAUUCAUUGUUUGAAGCAUCAUUGUUUAGUCUUGUGUGCCUUCCGUGGCCACCAUCACCCUUCACAUGCUGAAUGUUGAAUAGACGAAGCAAGAAAAGAUUAGUUGUGCAUUGUCAUAUUGUUAGAUCAAGAUGAACUCCAAAGAGAAGUCAAGAGAUUUGUUGCUAGUCUGGUACAACCGAAUAUCUUCAUUGAUAUCGUGAUGGUCACGGUCGCUAAGAGCGCAGAUGAGACCAGAGGUUUAGAUUCUCAUAUCCGACCGACAAGGCUGGGUUUCAUGAUUUAAAUGUCAUCUGAUAUUAAUUCUCAUACGGCUAUACAUGAGACAAAAUCAUUGUAACACACAUUUGUAUGUAAACAAUCAUAUAGUGGAUUUGGCCUCCGGGCCACCGUGGUUUUUUCCCGAUUUAGGGUUUCCACGUUAAAACAUGUGUCCCUUGUGUUUGUGUUAUUUGUUUGGCUGCAUAACCUUGCGAUGAUCUGAGCUCAAGAUUUUAUAAAAAUGACCAUUGACACUUUGGUGUAGCUUAAUCGGAGGUGUUCUGCGAUUAUAUAUACCGCAGAUGUAAUUAACUGAAAUUCUUUCAAGAUUUCAGGAAUCAAGAAUCCUUGCAAUCGUCAAAGUCAGAUGAUUAUCCAAGCCGCACUUCAGAAAAUACAUGUGAAAAGGAAAUUUUUAAAUUGUCAAGAAUCGACAAAAUACAAGUUUUUCUAUUCCCAUUUGUUUAUAUCAAUUCAAUUUGUAUACUAUAGUAUAUUGGCACGCCCGCACCCAAAACGCCAUAGCAGAUAAAUUUAAAUAUUUAUCUUGCAAAAACAGGGGGAUAGAAAUGGGAUUGGGCAUGGGUGGUCGUACUCCAUCAGGUACAACUCCGACGAGAUCUUGGCCGCCGGAGCCACGAAGGCCGCUGGGGACUUCCCUGCCCAUGCCACCGCCACUGUCGAUGGCAUCGUCGCGAGCGAUUUCUCUCUCUUCCUUGUUUCUCGUGGGUACGCAGGACGGGAAAGUCGAGAGGGGUGGGCAGCGGGUGUGCGGUGCCAUAAGUGUUAAUUCUAGCGAGGUGGGCACCGAGAAGGGGAUGAAGGCCAUGGCCAGGAAAGAGGGACUGCGGCAGAGAGAGGCGUGUGAGAGAGGAGCGCUGGGGGAGAGAGACAGAGUCGAUCCAGGAUAGGAUAGGAUAGGAUAGGAUCCGCAAGGGCUCGGUGGGGACGGUUGGCUUGCUCCACAGACGAAGCUGUGCGGGCCUUUGACUUUCUCUCCGUUUUUUCCAUGCAGGGAUGCAUCGAUUGUUGAGGGAUGGACGUACGGCGGUGACCGUACCAUCACCACCAACUCCAAUUUAAUAUAUUGGUAUAGAUAUCAAUCGAUACAAUCAAUGAGUUUUACUACUCGCUGCAAUCUUAUUACAAGAAAACAAAAAUAACAACUCUAAACAGACCCAGCGACUAGACAACCAUCCCUUGGGCCUAUUUUGCGCUGCUCGGCCUUCAGUUUUUCUUCUUUUUGGGCUUCGCCCCUUGCCCCUCUCGAGUUGAAUCCUGGACGUUGAGGCUCUGAACAGUCUGAAGCCUGCCUGAACAAGUUCAUUAGUUCAAUGACCAAUCUUUAGCAUCCUAAACCUGAAUAAUUUCUGAACGCUUCUUCUCAAUUGGUCUCAGCAAUCAACGGGACCAGAUUGUUGAGUAGCCUACAUACGGUUUUCCUUUGCCCAAUACGCGCGUAUACCCUCCUCCACCCACUCCCAGGUGUAUAUAAACACCACUGAAGUCUAAGCCUCCAAAACCCCUACUAAUCACUCACACAUCAAAGAAUUAGUUAGAAGCUUCUAACUUCUAAACUCGAGAUGGGCAACAAGAAGAAGCUUGCCCCAUUCUUCCUGGCCAUCCUUCUCAUCACCACAUUAUGUAUGUAAGUCGAAUUAAUCAAUCCUAGAUGGAUUUCGCUUCACAAAUUAAUGCGUGUGAAAUCUGUGCAGUACUUGAGAAGGUGCCGGAUCAGGUUGCGGGCGAUGAUCUGGUGUGCAACAUCAGAUGGCAGCCGUGCACCGGCGUGUGUUACAAGUCCGGCAAGUGCAUGCGCUGCUGCAAGCAAUACGGCUUCUACCAUGGCCGCUGCAUCCUCAUUAAAGGCGAUGGCUGCUACUGCUGCCACGAUCCCAACCACUCCGGCGAUGGCGGCGACGACGGCCAGCAGCAGCGACGGCAUUGAUGAGCUUCUUCGGCGUAGUGUUAUUGGGGAGAGAUGUCAUGAUCCCAGAUGACACCACCACAGCAUGCUAUAUGAUGAAUCUAAAUAAUUGUACUUCCCUCCACAUCUUACGACUCUUUAGCGUGCACGUUAUGUCACUACUAAGAAAGAGAAAAUGCAGAAUUACAAAGAAUGCUUACAAGAAAAUUAAAAUAGAACAGUAUAUUUUUCGUCUCUCAAGUCUCUACAUGUUGCUUAUACCGAAAAUACUGGUUCCUCGCUCUGGCUCUCGCUCUGGUUUUGUAGUUCAGAGACAAUCUCUAGACUUGUGCAGCAGUAGAGGAACAACAAGAAAAUCAAAUGAAAAAGAUAAGCAAACCGUAGGGAAGUACCCUCAUAUCGAUCUAAGUAUAUGAUACAAAAAUUAAAUUUUACAUGUGUCUUUCAGUUCUAUAAAGAUUUCAAGAUUUCAGUUGGUGGCGGCGGUCCGUCUACCAUCGAUGUUUUUUCCUUUCUUUAUGUGGCAUUUACCAUCUUAAAAAUCGGCAAAACUUUCAGUGGCACGUAUGAAACAUGAAACAUACAAUCGAAAUACAACUGCAGCAAUGCACAUAUAUUAAACUAGUCUAAGAAACAGAAAAGAGAGGCGAUUAUUAAUGUUGGACGUAUAUAGGAGUGUGACUGUCAGACCUAACUGGUGUUCAGUUCACGCAAAGAAUGCCUGUCUGAACUGGAGUGAAUGGAUUCUGUUGAGUACACAAAAGCUAAUUCACUCGGGUCCCAAAUCCGCCCACUUACCCUUAUUUGUGGCCACUGAGAGAGUGAGAGGGACAGAUUGCAGUGUGCCACUGUGGCUGGGUUUGGUGAUACAGAUUGACCCUUCUAGAAACUGGACAGAGGUUUGGUCCGAUUAACGCUGCCGUUUCCUCGUCUGCUGAUGUUCUGAUGCUUCGACUAUCGGUUUGUCCAUUUGUCGAUUCGAUCGUAUAUAUGUUUCGGUUGAAAUUUUCAGUUUGUGACUAUGUUUUUCAGACAUAUUAUAGUCAACACCUCUAAUUCAAUACACCGCCUUUCUCUUACGAAAAACAUAAGAACGGUUCAUAUCACACCUUACCCCUUCAUAAAUAAGGGCAUUAAACAAUAUUUUCUUCUUUUUUUUCGCCUGGCUCUGAACAACAUUCGGUGUUUAGAGGGACAUAUUGGAUUAAUCCCUUUUAUGAGACAUGCAUGUAUUGAGAUGCAGUUAAAUGUAUGUGAUUAGAAAUGCGACGAGUAAUUAAAGUAACAACAUGUGCUAUAUGAGUGCAUUAAUAAUAUGUAUGACUUCCGAACAUAAGUAAUUAAAGUAACAACAUGUGCUAUAUGAGUGCAUUAAUAAUAUGUAUGACUUCCGAACAUAAUAAUGUAUCGUACCUUUUCUUUCCCGAUGUUCAUUUUUGCAGAUAACUAAACUUACACCAGAAAAGAAGCUUUCUGACAACACCUUCACAUGAGUUCGCUGCCUUCAAGAACUCGUACAUGUUGACCAAAGCAAGUGGUAGACCAAUCCAAAAAGAUUAUACAACCACAUGUUGAAACUUCAUUGUGCAGUAACUAUAGGAUAUGGCAGUGGAACUGGAUAACAUUAAACAUCAACUCAUCUUAGACAGAUAAUAUUGUACAUCUGACUGCGCGGUGGUAGAAUAACUCAUCUUCUGCUAUAUUUCUCGAUUUUCUUGCUACUCCGUAUUAGUUCUCUCUCUUUGCCAUGCGGGGACCCACGUAUACAUGGAUUGCGGGUAAAAAUAAAUUCGAAAAGGGGGAAAUCGCCGGCCAAUUACGGGUGAAAUUAAUGGAUAUGUGUAUCUUCAUUUCCAAGCAUUAAACAUUAAUGGUAUUUAUGUGCGUUAUUAUGUGCCUAAAAAUAUGAUGUUUGCAUGUAACCCCAAGAAUUAUAAAUAGACAGCCAGAGGCCAGAGCUUUCAGUCUACAUCACUAAAUUCAGUCAAACUUGAUCCAGGCAUGGGGGCCAAGUUUGCAACGGCUGCCUUCUUCUUCCUCCUCCUCCUGACCUUUGGUUUUGGUGAGCCCCUUGUCAUCCAAAAAUAAAAUCUUAUGCAGAAAAGCAUUUUAAUUACUAGUUGAGUUGGUUGAGCAGGUAAGGAGGAGAAGCCAUGCGAAGCUCCCAGCAAGACCUUGGAAGGCGUCGAGAGCAUUAAGGACAAGUGCGAAGCUGCCUGCAUCGGCGAGGGCUACAGAGACGGAUACUGCAAGCACAUAAUGCAGCCUGGAUGCAUUCAUACUAACCGGUGUCACGAUCUCGGCCUGAACGAAUCUAGAUGCAUUUAUACCAAUCGGUGUCAUGAUGAAAGCCUGACUGAAGCUAGGGACGACUAGACUACCCGCAUUUGUCGAUCUAAUGUAUGAUAUGUAUGCUUCAGCUGAAAUUUUCAGAUUGUGCCUUUGUGAAAAUGGAAUGCAGAAAAUAAUGCACGGGAUGGUUGGCACCUAAUGUUUGAUGUUUCUCAGACACAACAUAAUCAAGAACUGCACAAAAAUAAGCCUGGGACUUUGCACAUUUUUUACACCAAAGAUUGUUGUUGCACAUAAAGCUGAGGCUGGAAAUGUCCUUUUUCUAAAAACAUUUUCUUAAAAAAAGAUGGUUGUGCAUAAUCAAUGGGUAAGAUUGCUGCCCCGGCAGGCUACCUGCCGUGAUACACAGGCAACCAAGUUUCUGAAGUUCGAACAGAGCAAAGUACGGGCUGCACUGCAGAACAGAAGUUUGGUUUACUGCCGAAACUGAAUGAAAACAGUGUGCGAGAUCACACGAUUGGGUUUUGAGAUUGUUGUGUGUUUUGUAGAAUGGUUCAGUGCAUGGUUCCUUGUGUGAUAAUCUCGUCCAAAAUACUGUAUGGUUUCGAGAAUGGUCAGGUAUAUGGUUUUUAGUUUUGAGAAAAAAAAUUAGAGACAGUUUUGAGAAUGUUGUGAAAAACAGGAUUCCAGUUGUAUACGAUCCGCCUGUAUUGUACUCAACAAAAAAUGUCUCCUUCGUGCCAUAGAUACAUACAAUUCCUCUUCCUCCUUGCUUUGUUUUCUUCAGCGCCAUGGUUACCCAGAAGGUACCUGACCCCAAGCGGAUUUUCAUCUAUUCAUUUCAGUGCAUGAACCCGUUACUUGACCCAAUGCCAUGCCAGCCACCGGCAUCUUAAAAAAGGACACGCAAAAUCACCACCGUACUAAGUGUUUGGAACAUUACUGCUGCAUGGGGCAGACAGGUUCGGCGUGCGGUUGGGCCAAAAGACACCGGAGACAGAGAGGGCGAACAAACAGUUUGGGAAGAUGUCCAAUAUCUUUGGGACACAGAACCCAGAUAAAAAAUGUCCAUCGCAGAGAGAGAGGGAGGGAGAAGGUAGCUAAAAAAAUGUUUAGCAAAACUACUGCAAACCCCAAGCUAAGCUAGCUAUAGAUGGUCCUUGGCAGGGCGGAGGCAGAAAAAAAUCACUCCCUCCGUCCCAUAAAGUGACUCAAAUUUGUCUAAAUAUAUACUAAAAUACGUCUAAAUACAUGUAAUAUUUCGGUAUUUAAUAUGGGACGGAGAGAGUAUAUGAGGUUCAAACCAGAAAAAACUGUUAUUAGGAACAGCCAAAGCGUAAAAAAAACAGUCUAUAGUACACUAAUUGCAGGGACCUAAGCAUAAUUUUUGAAUCCUAGGGGGGAGGCCCUGCUGGUAUCCGCUGCCUCCACCACUGGUCCUAGGGUGGCAGAGGAUGAGAUAAAGUCGCACAGAGUACAGUGAUGUAACAAACAUAAUGAACCACAACAAUGAACAUAAUGAUAGACAAAAUGGAAUUUGUGCACAUCAAAGAACAAUGGACGAAUGGAUAAGUCUACUACAGUUUUUGGGGUAAUCAAACACCUCAGCGUACGAUGAAAGUCUAUUCCAAUAUCUUCGUGGAGAAGUAAGAAAUAUUAGUAAAAAAUAUUUAGAGUCCGAUGUGAUGAAGUAUUCUAAAAAAUAAAUAUUUGUAAUAUAAUGUUUAGGAUGAUGACACUUGUCAUGCAUUUAAUGGUCUUCUACAAAUAUAAUUAGGGUGCUCCGUCAACCCAUGAAGUGUACCAUAACUAAAGGUGUACCACACCAAGAAAUAGAACAUGUACCACCACGGGAAAAGAAAUGAUCUAACAUGAUUGAGUUGUAUAUUUAGUAUUUGACUGGCCCUCAUAUAUAACAUAUAUUUUAAAAUUGAGGUGAGGUGGGGGGGGGGGGGGCAAUGGCCCCCAUAUAUAACAGAUAUUUAAAAUUGAGUUGGGGGCAAUGGCCCCCAUAUCGGAUAUUGGAUUCAUCCCUGUUUACGAGACAUGCAUGUAUUGAGAUUCAAUUAAAUAUAUGCGAUUAGAUAUGUGACAAGUAACUAAGAUAACAAAAUAUUAUAUAUGAGUGCAUUAAAAAUACUUAUGACGUCUGAACAUAAGAUUUAUUGCUUUCUUCCCCGAUGUUCAUUCUUGCAGAUAGGAUUCUAGACGUAUACCAAAUAAGAACCAAAUGGCCGAGGAGAAAGGCAGGAAAUCAAUACCUGGGUUGCGGACAUACCGUUGGUAUACAAUAAUGCUAUUACAUCAACCUGAAACUCAUCGACGCUGCCAUCAACUAUACCAAAAACGUCAUUCUUGUUUUCCGCAAUAACAUUGGGAAGACUCUGAUCAAUAUCAAGAAGCAAAUGAUGACCUCUGACGAGGCCGAUUUCGUCACUGCCAUCUUCAUCAUGAUCUACGACGAAGACCACGUAUCAAGGCUUGAUUUUAAUUUUCAGCCAUCCUUAUCCUCUCAUGAGACGCGGUGGGGCUGCUGAGCUAUAUCGGCUCCAAUGCGCAUCCCACGGCGACUAUCCAGUUUCAGCAAACCAUCAUCGACACCCGGGUGGUCGCAGCUUACUUUUCUCGUGGCUCGCGUCAAGGGACAAGAUCCCGGCGAUGUGGCCGCCCGGCUCGUUGGCACACGUAGACGGUAACGGCACGGACAUCAUCGUUCAGUUCAACAUCAUGUCGGGGACGUCUAUGGCGUGCCCGCACGUCAACGGCGUCGCCGCUUUGCUGCGCGCGGCGCAUCCUACGUGGAGACCGACGAUGGUCAAGUCCGCCAUGAUGACCACGGCGUCCAAUAUAGACAACACAUUUCGGCCAAUCACGGACGCUGGCAACGCCCUGCCGGCCAUGGGCUCAGGACACGUCAACGCCAACUCGGCCAUGGACCAGGGGAUCGUGUUCGAUGCCGGGCCGAUGAAUUAUGUUGCUCUGCAUUGGGUCGCCAACUACACCAGCGUCUAGAUCGCGGCCAUCACCACUGCAGCGUGCAUCUGCUCUAACUCUAAACUCUAGCAUCUCCUCCAACCAGUCCAAUUACCCGUCCUUAGUGAUUCAAUUAAAUAUAUGUGAUUAGAAAUAUGAAAGUAACUAAAGUAACAAAAUGUGCUAUAUGAGUGACUUAAAAAUGCAUAUGACGUCUCAACAUAAUAAUGUGUUUUACCUUACUGAUUCAUUGUUUUCUUCCCCAAUGUUUAUUACUGCAGAUAGCUAGACUCACACCAGAAAAGAAUCAUAUAGCCCGGGAGAAAACCACGUUCCAGGUGGAAAUCAAGAUGAUUGUGCGCAUUGGAGACGAGCCGGCCUUCGGUGCUCUGGUCUCAGCCAACGACAGCGGCAAGUAACGUGUCACCACUCCCUACGUCGUCCUUUGAUCGAUGCUCGCCCUAUCCUAGUCCAGAUUAAUACGUAAUUCAAGAAGGGGAUGAAACAUUCAUUCCCGAGGGUAAUGGAUUUGGAAGCUCUAGUAAGAUGAAUCCAACCCGUAGCAGUAGUCAGCUUAGAUUUAAGAUUAGUAUAGCAAAUUUGUGUUGGCCAAAUUUGGCCUAGCUUGUAUCGGGCAGAUCGGUGGUGCAUCUGUUGUUUGUUGGUACGGAACAACAAACAAAUGUCUAGAUUAAUUUGUGAUCCUUAAAAGUAUGUGAUGUUAAAUGAAAUCGACAACUAUGGUUGGAUCAUUACGGACGGACAUGUUAACAUGGGCGGCCCUCCGCUACUCGAUCGACCGCCUUCUUAAUGUUUCGUAUGAUUAGUGUUCCACAUGAAUUUCGUUCUUCUUAGAUUGCCAUAAGAGGAAGAGCUGGCCAGCAAUGACAACGAAGGGAUCUGUGUGGAGGAAGGAUAGAGGCGGUGUCAGGUUUGGGGAUUUCUGAACUCUGAAGAUGUGAAAGUCAAAGGCUGAAGAGAACGUUUCAUCAGUUAAAAGAGUGGUUAAGAUGGAAGCGGAACACAUAAAUGAUGAUCGACGGUCCAUAUGGCUUGCCGGAAAGUAAACAGUAUUUACUCAAACUGUUUCAGUAUUCAGUUAACUACGAGCUCACGGGGUAUAUAAUUAACCCGCAGCAGUCGAUGAAAGAGAUGAGAAAUUGAGAUAUAUUCUAGCGUCUAGUUACUUUAGCUUAAGCUAGCUAGGGUUCAUCUAGUUCUUCCACGAAUUUACUCGAGAUAUAUCCCCAAAUCCAUCGACAAAUUUUCUUUUGUCAUGUCAAGAAGCUUAAAAUGAACCCUACAAGGCUACAACCAUACCGUGGCCAUUAAGUCAUUGGUAACUGCCCAAUGACUCCACAAUAUUACUAAUCGGUAUUGGUUGUUGUAGUUAUGACCCGAUUAAACCUACAGUUUAAAUCACUUUUAAACUGGUAGAAUAAAGAAAAGGAUUAUUGCAUGAUUUAACGAAAAAAAUAAGAUGUACCGUAUUUUAUUGCUACCGAAGGCGUGAAUACCAUGGUUUAAGACUGAUUUUUUGUGCAAAGAUCUAUGAGAGUGGCCGCGUGCGGGUUUUAGCCAGGCCAUCAGGUGAUAGCCCGGUGGUAGAACAACCCUUUCCAACUUUCAUCUUCUUUUGAGAGAGGUUCCAACUUCCAAGUUGAUAUCUAGUGGCAUUCAGCGCGCGUUCUGCCUAUCUCUCUCCAUGUGGGCCCUCGUUUAAUUGAAAACACAAAUUUAGUAAUCAAUAAAGUGUACCUUUUUUUUCUAGAAUACCAAUAAAUUGUACCUAAUUUACACGUAAAGUUAAUGGGCGUGCUUAUCUUGAUCUCUGAGGCAUUAACGAAAUUUAUGUGCAUGAUUAGAGAUGCCAAAAAAAGGAUAAUCACAUCUGACCCCAAGCACUAUAAAUAGAAACCUAGAUCUCCUCGUAACUCUCGUGUACCCAACAAAAUCCAGUACGUCCGCCUUCACUCGCAAGCAUGGGGGCCAAGCUCGCGGGGACUGCCUUCUGCUUCUUCCUUCUCCUCACCUUUGGUUUUGGUACAUAAUACUACUACUACGCAUAUGUUAAUUAACCCGACAACUAACCUAUCUAACUGGCUAAUUGUUUGCAAUUCUUAAGAUGAUAAUUAAGAGGGUUGGUUGAUAAAUUGAUGAGCAGGUAAAGAGGAGACACCAUGCGAAAGGCCCAGCAAGUAUUACCAGGACGUCGAAUGUUUCGGAUCCAAGUGCAAGAAUGCCUGCAUUGGGGAGCAUUUCAGAGACAGGUACUGCAAUUACUUAAGAUGCAUAUGUACAAACCAUUGUGUCAAUGGAAGCCCGAUUGAAGCCAGGGACGGCUAGAAAUCUUAAAUUUCGGCGUUUGUUCAAAUGGAAUAUAAGCAAUAAAGCAAACAAUAUUGUGUGAUGGUUGAUCGACCUGAUUUUUGCUAUUGUUCUGACAAAGCAGAGAGUUGCGUAAUCUCUGUAUAAGUUAUGUAUUGAACGCCAGAGUUGGUUGCACAUUAAAGGUGAGGACAGAAAGAUCUUUUCCGCUAAAAAAUUUGGUUGCACAUAACUUAACAAGUAUUGAUCUACUCCCUCCAUCCAAUAAAGGAUGUCUCAACUUUGAUUAAAAAAAAUGAUAAAUAAGUGGUCCACAACAUUAUAAAUAGACAGACCCGGGUUUCUGCUAUAAAAUUCCCAAAAAUUGGGUAACUUAUGUUAUAUAUGUCCUCAUUUUUAAUAAAAGUUCAAGAUUAAUGAGCACAUGUUCUGAUGAUUUCAGCGAAAAUUUGAUGAGUGAUAGUUUUGUAAUUUAAAUUAUGCUUGAUUCAUACAGUUCCCGUCGGAAGGUGCAGAAAAAAAAACAGAUGACUAGGCUACAGUGGCCGGAGCCACUAGAUCCGCCGGUUCCGAUGUAAAAGCGCGACAAUUAAAAAAAGCUCGAGCAAAAACAGCCGUCGUUUAAAAAAUGAAAGCUAAAGUUAAUAGCAACAAUCAUACUCCCAAACUAUGCACGUAUACUCUUGGAUCCACAUCCUCUUUACUCUCAAACUCUUGGAUCUACAUAUCCUCCGUCAAAGAAUCAUGGCUCCACAACACCACUAGUGUCGGCCUUCAAAGGAAGGUGUUUGCCUCGCUGUGACAUGGGAAAUUUGGAAUGAGCUGACAGAAUCUUUUGAAACGUGGCAACCACACCGCCCAUAAUUAUCAGGAGAAUAAAAUUUGGCACUUGCCAAAUUCCUCGGACCUUAUCCCCGGGUAUUAUCUAGUCUUACGUUUUGGCCGUCUUGACAGUGGUUUGCUUUCUUUUGACUGUGUUCACCCUUAUUUCAACUCCCUCUUAAUUAAUUGAGACAGACUUUUAGCCUCUCAUUAAAAUCAUUUUUUUGAUAAAAAACAAACAAACUUAAGAGCAAGAAUGAAAAGAGGUAGAGUACUGAACAACCAUCAUCCAGUAUGGCGCAUACCUUGCCGCAAGACCAGAAUUAAUCUUAGCCAUCGAUGAAAAGAUAAAAUUUGAAGUGCCAAAACCGGACUGAAAAUUUUGAAUUUCGGAUGGGUACCAAAACUUUCUCCAAAACAAAAUUUUGAACCUUAAAGCCGGAUAGUGCAGACAAAUAGUGCACCUUGGAUGCGUACAUCGUGCCGGAUGCGUACUAACAGUGUGACGACUGACGACCAAGCGGACGGUAAAUAUAAGAAAAAAGUAGCCUCUCCGUUCCUAAUUAAUUGGCGCCGGAUGUUUUGCAAAGACACCCUAUAAAUUUCUGAAAUAAACCUGCAGUCCACAUCUUCAAUUUUUUUUGUUUUUACAUCUUCAAUUAAACAUGGACUGCACGUUGAUUUCAAAAAAUAACAGGGUUUUUUUCGAAAAAGUUCUGAUAUAACGUGGACUGCAGAUUUAUUUCUGAAAUUUACAGUGGUUUCUUUGCAAAACAUUCGGCGCCAAUUAAUUAGGAACAGAGGGAGUAGUAGUAUUCAACAAAAUUAAUGGUAAAGAUUAUUUGUUCGAAAAUGUGCAAAAUCUUAAAGGUCGUAUUCUAGAACUCUCGGAUAAAUGUUUCUACAAGUGAUGGGGCAGAGGUUGAAGUUUAGAACAGCUAGCCCUUUCCAACUUCCAACUUUUUUCUGAGAAGUUCCAACUUCCAACUUGAUACUCCAGUAGUAUUCAGCGUGCUCUCUAUCUCUCUACCAAAGCACAAAAUAAGUAACACACUGUAAAAGUUUAAAUAUUACAUGUUUACUGAGUUAGAGGGAAAAUAAGAGUACAAGGAAGAGAAACAGGCUGCUAAUUAACAACCGGCUGCAGCACUGGCUCCCUGUGAGAAAUGAGACGUGAGCCAAGUCUUAAUAAAUAGUGCAUGUUUACAGACUACUAUACAUACUAGUUACUGCACCGGUAGCUGAUUGUACUGUUAUCUUUGCUCUAAGUUAAGCACAAUGUUAAUGGACAUGCUUAUCUUGAUUCCCGACGCACUAAUGGUAUUUAUGUACAUGAUUAUCUGCCAAAAAAAAGGACAAGCACAUUUGACCCCCGAGCGCUAUAAAUAGACACCUAGACCUUCUCAUAACUCUUGUCCACCCACCAAAACCCAGGUCACCUUCAUUCACUACUGAUUCAGGCAUGGGGAGCAAGCUUGCCGCGACCGCCUUCUGCUUCUUCCUCCUCCUCACCUUUGGUUUUGGUAAUAAUACAAUUACCACACAGAUGUUAAUUAACCCGACACCUAUCCUAACCUAAUUGGCUAAAUUUUUUUGUAUACAAUUCAUAAACUGACAAUUAGGGUGUUGAUUGAUUAACUGAUGAGCAGGUAAGGAGAAGACGCCAUGCGAAAGGCCCAGCGAGUAUUACCGGGACAUCGAGUGCCUCGAAUUCAAGUGCAAGAGUUCCUGCCUGAUGGAGCACUUCAGAGACGGGCAAUGCAAUUCUAACUUACAAUGCGUAUGUACUAACCACUGUCGCAAUGGGAGACGCCCGAUUGAAGGCAGGGACGGCUAGAAACCCCCACCUUUGUUGUAAUGGAAUGUAUGCAAACAAUAAUGUGAUGGUUUGGUUUGUCGACCUGAUUUUUGCUACUGUUCUGAGACAGCAGCAUGCUCGAGAGUUGCAUAAAAAAAAUCUCUGUGUAACUCAAGUAUUGAACACUAAACUUGCUUGCACAUUAAAGGUCAGGCCAGAAAGGUCUUUUUGUCUAAAAAAGGUCGGUUGAAGAUAACUUAACAAACCCUACCUCUGUUUCUAAAUAUAAAAUGUUCUAAUCUUGUCUUUAAGUCAAACCUUUUCAAGUCUGACCAGGUUUAUAAAAAAUGUACUACUAGUAACAUUUAAAAUAUCAUAUAAGUAUACUACAAGGAUAUUAUAUUUAGUAACGGAGUGAGUAUUAUUAAAACAAUUGAUAAAUAAGUGUUUUACGAUCUUAUAAGCAGACAGUCUUGUGUUUCUGCUAUGAUAUUGCCAAAACUUGGGAAACAAAUGAAGUGAAUUGUAUGUUAGUUAUAUAUCCUCAUUUUUAAUAAAAGUUCAAGAUUAAUGAUUUUAGUGAAUAUUUGAUGACUCGAUAGUUUGUAAUUGUAUGUUUCCCCACCUUUGUUGUAAUGGAAUAUAUGCAAACAAUAGUGUGAUGGUUUGGUUUGUCGACCUGAUUUUUGCUAUUGUUCUAACACAGCAGCAUGCUGGAGAGUUGCAUAAUUUUUUCUCUUUUUUAUUAUAGAAAGAAAUAAGAAAAUUUCAUAAUAAAUAAAUAAAUCAUUUCUAACUUGAGUGUUGCACAUUAAAGGUCAGGCCAGAAAGAUCUGUCUUUUCCUGAAACAAAAGUUGGUUCCAGACAACUGAACAAAUAUUGACCUGUCAAAAACAAGAUGAAUGAUCAACUGUCAAAUAAGUACUUUCUGGUCUCUGGAAAAUAUACAGUCCCGUGUUAUGUUACUGGAAGAGAACAAUCUGGGUGCCCUUUUGCACAGCAACUGAUGAGCCAUUUCUAUUCUACAGUACACAUGUUUAUAUUCAUGAUUCAUGAAGAGCGCAAACAUUCCUCACAACAAAAAUUGAUCUCCUAUAUAUAUACAUGUAUGCAACAACAUUAACCACACGGUUGCUUCCCAACUUGCAAAGCUCCAUGGAAAUUGAUCCGACUAUAUAUGGAUCACAUGGUUUGACCUCCUUCACCCACAUCAAAGAUUAUAAUCUUUUUGAAGAUUAAUGUGCAUUCCUAGCUUAAUUUUAGUUCUUGUCUCAAUAUGUACCAAGAUUUCUUAUGUGCGACUUCUUUGCACUUGCUGAGAGAUGUAAGAAAACCUUAAUUGGUAGUAGCAGGUGUGUGAGAGAUGCAUUUGUCCAACUAUCUGUCGGAAGAUAUUGCUUCUUCUAUCCUCCUAAUGACGAUGCUGAGACUAUGUCCACUUUCAAGCGCUUUGACGGCAGCUCUAUGUGCUUUCUUGUGCCACUUCAGAAGGUUGUAAGAUUGCAUCACUGACCAGCGAGCUCUAUUUGCCAUCUGAUAAACAACAGAUAAAUAUUUACAGGCUGUUUUGAUUAAAAUGCACCACCUCUGUUUCAAAAUAUAAGACAUUUUGGUAGACUAUUUUGGCCUACCAAAACGUCUUAUAUUUUGAAACAGAGGUACUAGUAGGCAAGACAUACAACAGAAUAAUAUGGACCUGUGCAAUAGAAAGCGGAGGAUUGAGCAAAAUACACAGACUCCUGAAUAAAUUCUCAUCAUUUUCUCCUCCUUCUGCCUCCCCAUAUACAAGUGCUUCUGCAGCAAUUCCAGCAAAUAGAAUCAUGCAAUAUCUGCAAUCAAGAUCUUGCUUGAGAAAAAACAAACAGAAAUGUUGUAGAAGAACUCCAACCACCAAUAUUGAAACAUAUUACCUAGUAACGUACCUGUCGAAUGCUGUACUUGAUAGAUGACCCUCACCAAGUUCUUUCUCCAUUUUUUCAUCCCAGAACUGUGUCCCUGCCUGCAGAGGUAUGAAAUAACACCCUUGAGAUCUCUGUAAUUAAAUGCAGAUCUCUAUGAAAGGCAUAAAUCUAAGAUCCCUCAGAGAGAAGAACAUAUUAAAGGAAUGUGCCACAACUGUACAAUGCAAAGCAAGGAAAUCUAAUCCUAUAUUCUUAUACGAGACAUCUUCUUGAAGUCUCAGUUAUCAGUACAGUUAGACAUAUAUGCCUCCUAAAUACGCAAAGACUUCUGAAACUGUAACCAAAUCCUACUUGAUAACAAAAUACUUGUAAUUUUCAUAGUAUGGUACUCCCUCUGAUCCAUAAAAAGUGUCGCCCAUUUUGUACUAAGUACAAAUUUUGUACUAAGUGGGCGAGACUUUUUAUGGAUCGGAGGAAGUAUGUAGAAACAUGGGCAAAUUGAACUCAGUUACACCACUUGCUAGCAAUACCAGUAGCACAGUAGUAACUUUUAAGUAGAUUGAAGGUAAAAUUUGGAGAAGGCAAGCUGAUGACAGAAAGUGCAAUGCUUCAUCAGAUAGUAGACAUAAAAACACAAUAAGAACAAUAAAUACAUAAUAUAAUCACAACAUGAAAACCGGUAAAAGUUGUACCUGUCCUUGAAUGCCCAUUCGCAAUGCCACAAAUGGAUCCAGAAUGACUCCUCGUAUAGGGCAACCCAUUAGAUAAGCUAAACAAAGUUCAAUGGAAGUAAGAAAUGUUAGGAUAACAAACUUGUCUCAGAAGUCAGAUGUUAUACAGAUCACAGAAUGAAAUCCUAGCAAAUGAAAGCCACCAUCCAAAGUUGCAUCGAUUACAAGAACUUGAUGAUAUAAAAGGUGGGAGAAAUUAAGGAAAGGAAUACCUGUAAGAAGAUGGCCUGCUUCAUGUACAAGUAUUCUGCGCUUGUAUGGAGGCCAGAAACAUGAUAUUUGUGCAGCACAAGUACCACCAAGCAAAAGUGCAUCUGCUGUCGCUAAUGCCAAUAUGGCAGCCAAGUUAGGCCGGACAUCAAUGCCUUGAGUUAGUAGAAAAGAUACACCUCCAAGAAAUGUAACCAGAACAUAAGGAGAUUUUCCUGAGAGACCCCACUUCUUCGGCGCAAGCUUUGCAGCUGACAAAAAUAAUAUGUGAAGCAGAUAAGAGGUACAGAAGAAAAAGAAAGUCCUUCUGAAUUGAUGUUUCGGCCUAUCUAACCUAUCCAUUGCUAAGAAAGAAGUAGUGCAGUGUGACAUUGACAAAAAAAGAAGAAGAGAAGCACAGAUCUACUACGAUCUUUAAUAAGGAACAGUACAGAAGAAACGGAAUACUGCCUCAAUUCUCACCUUCCAGGCCCGUCAUCUCCUUUAAAAUUGUUGGCGUCACUUCUCUUGGUCCCUCCAGAACUGCAGCAAAAGCAAUGCAUAUACACUGGUCAUGGUCAGUGGGUAUAACUAUCAAUCUGCAAAGGCAGUUUGAAUAAAGCAAAAUUAUGAGUGCAUGGCUCUAUAUAAACUGUAAGACACGUCCAAAUUUUAAGAGAAUUCCUUCGAUGGGACUCAAUCAGUACAUGGAAUCAUCACUAGCCCGUGAUUUUGCAUCCAAUUCCUACACAAACUUCACAGUAGCUUGCAACCUUGCAUUCUAUAGGGACUUCAUACAAGCUAGAAUGCUGGAUUUUACCAAGAACCCUGCAGACAUCAUAGGCUCAUGGCAACAGCUAACACACUGAGUUCCCAACCAGGUCCAAAUUUGAAGGCAAUUGAACAAUUAGGAUAAUAGUUUUGCAUAACAAAACCCUCAUGGGGACUUCAAUUAUCACAUAGAAGACACGACAGAAGAGAGAUCACAAUUCACCUAUGUUUUUGCACUUGCCGAAGUUGGCGAGGAGGCCGCGGUCGGAGAGGAACUGGUAGGCCCGGCCGACGAGCCGCAGGUCGUCGGCGUCGAUGCAUGCGUCCAGCACCUCCCAGUCCCGCCCCGGCUGCACGGGCAGCGCCACCUGUGUCUCUGACGGAGAAUACGCGGGCUCCACCGACUGCAGGAAGCGGAGCGCGCGGGAGAGGUCCUUGCUCUCGACGGCGUCCUCGAACUCGCGCCACUCCUUGAGGGAGCCCGCGCGGAGGCGGGGGACGGGUCCGGGCCCGGGGCGCGGCCGGCGGGAAGGAAAGGGGAGGAAGCGCUUGGAGUUGGAGGAGGGGCCGCGGGCGGAGGCGGGAUUGGCCGCGGUGGAGGCGAGCGGCGGGGGCCAAGAGGUGGUCGCCAUUGGUGCGGUCUCGGAGGUGCGAGCUCCGCUUUGCUCUUACCGUCGUUGCCAACGUGGCGUCCUCCCCUGCCAGUCGUCGGGCCUGCCUGGGCCGGGCCGAUUUGUGCAGGGCCCAUAAAGACUCCCCCAUUGCAGGCCUUUGUUUUCAGUUUUGGCCCAGUUUCUCUCAAGCUCGCCAGACCCAACAGCCUCUCGGGCUAUCCACUCGGCAUUCCCAGCUCGGCCUGUCGGAGCAAGAAGACGAGCGAGCCUCGUCAUUUCCAAUUCCACGCACAACCAUUCCAGAAGCUUCCCUUCCUUUCCCCGCCGCUCCAAAACCAUCAAAUCCAGACCGUCCGUAGGAAAUCCAUGGGCCGAGAACCCGCAGGCGCCGCAUUCCUCUUACCCCUGCUCCAAGACACACACCAAACACCACCCCGAAUAAACCGCCCUCACCCACUGCCAGGCGGUCCCACGUACACCGACCCCACAUGUCACGGAAACACCACCCGGGCAAACCCACCGAAUAUUCGCUCCCCUUCGCAAGCCACGCCUCCGCUUUCUAUAAAGAAACCCCGGAUCGCCCGGCCUGCGUAGCCACAUCCAUCCAUCCAAAGCUUCCUUCGCAUUUCUCACUCCAAUCCCCCCUGCCCAGAUCGCCGCCGAUUCGAUCCGGUUCCCCUUUCUCCACGGUGAGUUUCUCUUCCGGCCGGCCCCGGAUCCGCCGCCGCCGGUGGAUACCUCGCGGGGCUGUGGUUUGAUCGAUGCUUCGUUGGCCUUGCAGGGAUGGCGACCAAGAGGAGCGUGGGCACCCUCGGGGAGGCGGAUCUCAAGGGGAAGAAGGUGUUCGUGCGCGCCGACCUCAACGUGCCGCUCGACGACGCCCAGAAGAUCACCGACGACACCCGCAUCCGCGCCUCCGUGCCCACCAUCAAGUUCCUUCUCGAGAAGGGCGCCAAGGUCAUCCUGGCCAGCCAUCUGGUGAGCACCUCGCCCCCACCUACCCACGCUGUGCUUAUUGAUCCGUGACAUGCUGCAUAUACUAAUAAGAAGCUAAUGGUUGGAUUUGCGAUUUCUGGGAGGACUGGAUAAGAUCGAGUGGUUCUGUGCAAAUUUUGGAGUCAUUUUAGAAUUUUAGAUCAGCGGAUAUAAACUGGUUUGAACUUUUGUUGGAGCUUUAGGGACAUUACGCCUGUGGCUACAGUUUUUGCGUUAGUUAUUUAUUUCUACCGAGGAUGUGAACAUGAGGCCCAGGUGGUUCAUUUUUGUUCUAUGUAAAUAUGUAAGCAAGUCUCCUUGCACGGUUGCACCCCUUAGGUCACUACGUGCGGACCUGCCUAUAAUUAGUGUACGGUUGGACAGGUUCUGUUAAUUUUAGUUAGUACAGUUAUGUGGAUAAUCUGUAAUGGACCUCACUUAUUAUAUGAAUUGGGAUGAUAAGUAGUUAUAUCUCAGUUGAGGCGAUUGAAAUUCAAGAAUGUGCCUGUCCAGCUUCCCCCGCAAUUCCCUUUUCUGUUUAACAAAUUUCAUUGUUUACUUUCCUUUUGUUUGAUAGGUGCCAAAAAUAAACUUCCAUCAAUUGUGAUGGUUUAGUGUUUCUUAUUUUGAAGUUGUUUGUGCCGCCACACUUCACAUGUCACAUACAGAGCAUUCUUGUUUGAUGUUGUCUCGAUAGCAUGUCAAAAAUAGUAUUCCAACAUUAGAUGGAAUGAUACGAUUAUUUUUGUUCCUGCUACCCUUUUAGCCUUUCGCAUGAUGAUAAUUGUCGGUAGUGUACUGAGCUUACAACUAUUCAGACUAAACAGUUUCUAUUGUAUCAUGAGUAAUUGUGUUGCUUGCACCUGAUUUUGCAUCCUCAACAAUCAACUUUAGGCUGUGGUCUUUGAAUUAGAAGUUUAUUGUUCAAAUCAAGGCUAGUUUAUUAUCUUAUGUAGAAAAGUUAGUUAGGUCGCUUGGCAUCUGAUGAUCAAAAACACAAGGAAAACUGUUGCCAAUGUACAAAGUGUGUUCUUUUUUCUGAUGUAACUCAUAAUUGUAAUUUCCAGGGCCGCCCAAAAGGUGUCACCCCCAAGUUCAGCUUGAAGCCUCUUGUUCCACGCUUGUCUGAGCUCCUUGGAAUUGAUGUAUGUUAUGGAAGAUAGAAGCUCAUGAUUAUUUCAGUUAUCUCUUUGAAUUAGAUUAAGUUCACUUACACUACAUCUGUUUAUGUUUGUGUAAAUAGGUUGUGAUGGCCAAUGACUGCAUCGGUGAGGAAGUUGAGAAAUUGGCUGCUGCUUUGCCAGAUGGUGGUGUUCUACUCCUAGAGAAUGUUAGAUUCUACAAGGAGGAAGAGAAGAACGACCCAGAGUUUGCUAAGAAGCUUGCAUCUGUCGCUGACCUUUAUGUAAAUGAUGCUUUCGGCACAGCACACAGAGCUCAUGCCUCAACGGAGGGCGUAACCAAGUUUUUGAGGCCUUCUGUUGCUGGAUUCCUCAUGCAGAAGGUAUAGCUGAAAUAAAUCUCAUUCCUGCUCAUUAUUUGCAUGAAAUCAUAAAUUCAUCUUCCUGUAGUUAGCUCAUGCUUAGAUUAAGGUAUUACCCCAAGAAGCAGUUCAUUCAAUCGUAGGAGACAGGAGAUGAAAUAGAAUUUUAAAGAGCACAAGUUGGCUAGAACAUGAUUCCUUCGCUGUCUUCAGUUUGCAACCUUUGGGUGAUAAGUUAAGAUGCGUAUGUAGAUUUUUUAGAAAACUAAAGUGCAACUAAUAUUUUAAUUAUCCCAGGAACUUGACUAUCUUGUUGGAGCUGUUGCCAACCCAAAGAAGCCAUUCGCUGCCAUUGUUGGUGGAUCCAAGGUCUCAUCCA